AUUCUACUGAAGAGUCCCAAACUAGGACGAAACAGUUGUCUAAU
Molecule: non-coding RNA, 44 nt
Filed under: Trichobilharzia regenti
Lineage: Eukaryota; Metazoa; Platyhelminthes; Trematoda; Strigeidida; Schistosomatidae
Source: RNAcentral